CGGCCGCGUCGACAACUAUUGGAAACGAUAGCUAAUACCGCAUAACAAUGGAUGACACAUGUCAUUUAUUUGAAAGGGGCAAUUGUUCCACUACAAGAUGGACCUGCGUUGUAUUAGCUAGUAGGUGAGGUAAUGGCUCACCUAGGCGACGAUACAUAGCCGACCUGAGAGGUUGAUCGGCCACAUUGGGACUGAGACACGGCCCAAACUCCUACGGGAGGCAGCAGUAGGGAAUCUUCCACAAUGGACGCAAGUCUGAUGGAGCAACGCCGCGUGAGUGAAGAAGGCUUUCGGGUCGUAAAACUCUGUUGUUGGAGAAGAAUGGUCGGCAGAGUAACUGUU
Molecule: ribosomal RNA, 342 nt
Filed under: uncultured bacterium
Lineage: Bacteria
Description: bacterial SSU rRNA
Rfam family: Bacterial small subunit ribosomal RNA
Source: RNAcentral